GUUAGGGUGGUGUAGUGGUCAACACAUCUGCCUAGUAUGCAGAAGACCUGGGUUCCAUCCCCAGCCUCAGCA
Non-coding RNA from Schistocerca serialis cubense, 72 nucleotides. Lineage: Eukaryota; Metazoa; Arthropoda; Insecta; Orthoptera; Acrididae. The record is from the annotation of a RefSeq genome assembly.